AAACAACCCUCUAUGUAUUGGAUAUUUGGCAGUUUUGGCCCUCAAGACCACUUUUAAAUUAGUCUUCGAUGACGUGACACCCACAAUGGUCGACACAGGCACCUCACUUAAGGGAUGUGGGUGCCACGUCAGCAAAGAGUAAGUCAAAAGUGGUCUUGAGGGCCAAAGCUGCCAAAGAUCCAAUACGUAAGGGCUGUUU
MicroRNA precursor from Medicago truncatula (barrel medic), 199 nucleotides. It matches the Rfam family "MIR2619 microRNA precursor family". Lineage: Eukaryota; Viridiplantae; Streptophyta; Magnoliopsida; Fabales; Fabaceae. The record is from Rfam.